GACUCGGUUGGGCGGUCCGCUUAACGGCGUGUACUGUCUGACUGGGCCUUACCUCUUGGUGAGCCAGUGUGCCCUUUAUUGGUGUGCAUUGGGGAACCAGGACUUUUACCUUGAGAAAAUUAGAGUGUUCAAAGCAGGCGCACGCUUGUAUAGAUUAGCAUGGAAUAAUAGAAUAGGACU
This 180-nucleotide ribosomal RNA is filed under the name uncultured Glomeromycotina. RNAcentral's name for it is "partial small subunit ribosomal RNA". The record is from RNAcentral. Lineage: Eukaryota; Fungi; Glomeromycota.